RNAcentral lists this ribosomal RNA (301 nucleotides) under uncultured bacterium. Its description in RNAcentral is "partial 16S ribosomal RNA". It matches the Rfam family "Bacterial small subunit ribosomal RNA", at positions 509 to 809 of the family's 1533-position model. The record is from RNAcentral.
CAGUAGCCACGGGAAUACGUAGGUGGCAAGCGUUGUCCGGAAUUAUUGGGCGUAAAGCGCGCGCAGGCGGAUCAGUCAGUCUGUCUUAAAAGUUCGGGGCUUAACCCCGUGAUGGGAUGGAAACUGCCAAUCUAGAGUAUCGGAGAGGAAAGUGGAAUUCCUAGUGUAGCGGUGAAAUGCGUAGAUAUUAGGAAGAACACCAGUGGCGAAGGCGACUUUCUGGACGAAAACUGACGCUGAGGCGCGAAAGCCAGGGGAGCGAACGGGAUUAGAUACCCCCGUAGUCCCUGUCUCUUAACAC